AUGUCACGCCUUCAGGUCCGCUCUUACUCUAGCCCCGUUUCCUCACGCGCCAACGAUCUGCUGACCGAACUCCACGGCCAUCUGGGCUUCGGGACGCUCAGGCCAGAGCUCGCGCACCAACUGUUCGACGAAAUGUUGGGCCAACCUGUCCCAGUAUCGGUGCGUGCACUCAACGGCUUAUUUGCUGCACUCGCGCGUGCGCCGCCCUCAACCGCCUGCACUGAUGGCCCUGCCCUCGCCGUUGAUCUCUUCAACCAUAUGGCCCGAGCAGGCCGCCGCUGGAUGACAGCACCCACCAUUCACACCUACAACAUACUAAUUGACUGCUGCCACCGAGCAUGCCGCCCAGACCUAGGGCCCGCCUUCUUCGGCUGCCUCCUCAAGACAGGAGUCACAACGAGCCCCAUUACCUACAGCAGCCUAUUCAAGUGCCUCUGUGACAUGAAGCGCACAGAGGCUCUAGACAUACUGCUCCAUAGGAUAGCCGACGACCUGCCUAAUGUCAUCUCCUACUCAGUGAUUCUCAAGAGUUUCUGCGACAGUGGGAGGAGCCAGCUUGCGCUUGACCUGCUCCGGGUGAUGGCCAAAAAAGGUGGUGACCGCUCUCCCGACGUGAUGUCAUACAACAUGGUAAUCGAUGGCUUCUUUAAGGAGGGUGAAGUAAGCAAAGCAUGCGAUCUAUUCCAUGAAAUGAUACAACAGGGGGUAGUGCCUACUGAGGUGACAUAUAGCUCCAUUAUCAAUGCGCUAUGCAAAGCAAGAGCAAUGGACAAAGCAGAGGUGGUCCUUCGACAUAUGGUUCAUAAUGGUGCCCAACCAGAUGUUGUGACAUAUACUAGCCUGAUCAAAGGAUAUUCAACUUUAGGCCAGUUAAAAGAAGUCGCUAGGUUGUUGAAAGUAAUGAGAAGCCAAGGUGUUAUGCCAGACGUUGUUACCUAUACCUUAGUCAUGGACUACCUUUGCAAGCAUGGAAGAAUCAAAGAAGCUGAGGAAAUAUUUUAUUCCAUGGCCGUGAAUGGCCAAAAACGAGAUACGGUCUCAUACUCUAUUAUGCUCCAUGGGUACGCUAUAGAAGGAUCCCUUGUUCAAAUGAUUGAUCUCUGUGAGCUGAUGGCAAGAGAUGGAGUUGUACCUGACCUCCGUUGUUUCAACAUACUGAUUAAUGCAUAUGCUAAGUAUGGCAUGAUGGAUGCGGCCAUGCUUUUCUUUGAAGACAUGUUGAAGCAGGGUGUGAAGCCUAAUGAAUUCACUUAUUUAACUGUGAUAUCUGCAUUUUGCAAGAUGGGCAGGAUGGAUGAUGCGGUGGAAAAAUUCAAUGAGAUGAUUGAUAUGGGAGUACCACUUGACACAGAAGUUUACAUGUGCAUGGUUGAGGGUUAUUUUAAUCUUGAUGAUUCCAUAAAAGCCAAGGAAUUUAUUACCAAAUUGAAGAACAGGGAUAUUCAUCAUAGGCCGCGGAAAGGUAAU
RNAcentral lists this ribosomal RNA (1467 nucleotides) under Triticum aestivum (bread wheat). RNAcentral's name for it is "partial small subunit ribosomal RNA". Lineage: Eukaryota; Viridiplantae; Streptophyta; Magnoliopsida; Poales; Poaceae. The record is from RNAcentral.